This 468-nucleotide ribosomal RNA is filed under the name uncultured bacterium. Its description in RNAcentral is "partial 16S ribosomal RNA". It matches the Rfam family "Bacterial small subunit ribosomal RNA", at positions 28 to 507 of the family's 1533-position model. The record is from RNAcentral.
GACGAACGCUGGCGGCGUGCUUAACACAUGCAAGUCGAACGGAAAGGCCCUGCUUUUGUGGGGUGCUCGAGUGGCGAACGGGUGAGUAACACGUGAGUAACCUGCCCUUGACUUUGGGAUAACUUCAGGAAACUGGGGCUAAUACCGGAUAGGAGCUCCUGCUGCAUGGUGGGGGUUGGAAAGUUUCGGCGGUUGGGGAUGGACUCGCGGCUUAUCAGCUUGUUGGUGGGGUAGUGGCUGACCAAGGCUUUGACGGGUAGCCGGCCUGAGAGGGUGACCGGCCACAUUGGGACUGAGAUACGGCCCAGACUCCUACGGGAGGCAGCAGGGGGGAAUAUUGCACAAUGGGCGGAAGCCUGAUGCAGCAACGCCGCGUGCGGGAUGACGGCCUUCGGGUUGUAAACCGCUUUCGCCUGUGACGAAGCGUGAGUGACGGUAAUAGGUAAAGAAGCACCGGCUAACUACGUG